RNAcentral lists this ribosomal RNA (466 nucleotides) under uncultured bacterium. Its description in RNAcentral is "partial 16S ribosomal RNA". It matches the Rfam family "Bacterial small subunit ribosomal RNA", at positions 28 to 507 of the family's 1533-position model. The record is from RNAcentral.
GACGAACGCUGGCGGCGCGCCUAACACAUGCAAGUCGAACGAGCGAGCGAGAGCUUGCUUUCUCGAGCGAGUGGCGAACGGGUGAGUAACGCGUGAGGAACCUGCCUCAAAGAGGGGGACAACAGUUGGAAACGACUGCUAAUACCGCAUAAGCCCACGGCUCGGCAUCGAGCAGGGGGAAAAGGAGCAAUCCGCUUCGAGAUGGCCUCGCGUCCGAUUAGCUAGUUGGUGGGGUAACGGCCCACCAAGGCGACGAUCGGUAGCCGGACUGAGAGGUUGAACGGCCACAUUGGGACUGAGACACGGCCCAGACUCCUACGGGAGGCAGCAGUGGGGAAUAUUGCACAAUGGGGGAAACCCUGAUGCAGCGACGCCGCGUGGAGGAAGAAGGUCUUCGGAUUGUAAACUCCUGUUGUUGGGGAAGAUAAUGACGGUACCCAACAAGGAAGUGACGGCUAACUACGUG